CCCACAGUUCAAAUAGAAACAUAAAUAAUAUUAGUGAAAUAAAUAAUAUAUAUAAUAAUAUAUAAUAUAAUUAAUAAAUAGCAAUAAAUAGAUAAAUACGUUAUUUAGAAACCACACAAUAUAUUAAAAUAUUGAUUUUGUAAAAGUUUUAAUUCUUUUAAUGAUGUUGAACCAUCCCUUUAGUUUAAUAUCACUCUGCCCCUUUAAGACACUUUCACAGUUAUGCACGAGCUGUUUUGUUUUGUUUUGUUUUGUUUUUUUAACAUUAACGGCAGAAGCUAACGGAAAAUCGAUAAGAUACACACGGAAUCCAGACACCUUAAACUAAACUCCAAAAUUAGGCUUAUUUAACACUUCUAAUAUUUUGUUCAUCGAGAAUCAUCCCUAUAACAUCUUAGCGGUGGUUUUGAGGAGUGUUUUGAAGACGGUUUUGGCCAGGUUUUUUUCCCCUACACGGAAAGUUUGUGGACAGCUCGACACCGGAUCGGACCUUUGGAUAAUCAGCGUAUUGCGAGACAGCAUACGAAUGAACAGAUAUUUCAACUGGAUACUAGAUGGCGAGCCAACCCAAGGAUCUCUAACCUGCAAGAACUGAAACACCGCAUUCUGAUCGCUUACACGGUUUGACCUGAACAAAGUGAACCACUGAGCUAUAUUCUUUUAAUCAAAUUGGACAUUGACCUUUGAACACAUCGAAUUGGACGGAUCCUCUGAACUGAAAUUCUGAAAUUGCAACACAAUAAUUUAGAUUUAUUGAAUAGAGAAAUUGGUGAAUAGGUGAAUGUAUGAAUGAAAAUUG
Misgurnus anguillicaudatus (oriental weatherfish) is the source of this 799-nucleotide non-coding RNA. The record is from RefSeq and is a predicted model, not a curated record. Lineage: Eukaryota; Metazoa; Chordata; Actinopteri; Cypriniformes; Cobitidae.